Hevea brasiliensis (rubber tree) is the source of this 1784-nucleotide long non-coding RNA. RefSeq lists it as uncharacterized. NCBI's taxonomy places the organism in Eukaryota, Viridiplantae, Streptophyta, Magnoliopsida, Malpighiales, Euphorbiaceae. The transcript has 3 exons. The record is from RefSeq and is a predicted model, not a curated record.
UUCGCAGGUCACAGAAAGGCCCUUUACUUGUUUAACCCCUUUUCCUUUCCCUUCGUCGAUCUUUGCCAUCCAUGAUUCAAGCAUCAAACUUUCAUUGAAGCUCUGCCGGACGUUGUAGGAACCGGCACGUUGAAGCUCCGGUCGGCAACUUUAAGCUUAGCAAGGAACCUCAAUUGAAGGUGCUUUAUUUUUUUUCUUUUGCCCCUUUGAUUUUGAUUAUAAACUGUGAUUAAACAGUGGCUUAAGCAAUUUCUGUGUAAACUGAAUGUUAGUUUCUAUUUUACUUUGAAAGCACAAUUUUUCAGGGCAUAAUAUUGAAAUUUUUGGGCAAAGUUUAGGGUGUUUGUUGAAAUUCUUGCAUUUAAUCUCCUUAUCCGCCUGUUUGAAAAACUAGAAUUUUGUGAGAAUUCAAUUUAGUUGAUUUUUUUUUUCAAUCCUCAUUUUUAAAAUUCUCAUGUUUGAAUUCAAAUAAAAAAAUAGAAAUAAAGCAUGAUCGCCAAUUGAAUUAUUUUCUUGCAAAUAUGUUUGUUUAAUCGAACUGCAAUCUCAUUUUGUUGGCUGAAAUUGAAAGAAAUUCAAUUGUAUGGAAGAGCACAAUCAAAGAAAAGGUGUUUGUGAACUCCAUAAAUGGCUUGGAAGAAGUUGCUGUCUUUGAGAAGACUCUUAAUUCUUCUAAAACCUGACUUUCUAUAUUCUUCUAAAACCUGACUUUCUAUCUCCUACUUCCUAUUCUUCAAAAUUUCGCCACUCUUACUGCUCUGCUUCUACGAGUUUCAAGAGCUUUCCAUCAACAUUCCAGCACUCUCAGAGUCCUCCUUACUCAUCUGCUUCUUCUGCUCUCACCCUUUGGAUCUCGAUGCUGACUCUCAAGGCCCUGCUACAAUCGAUUACCGGCUUGUGUUGCUGUGUCAUCUCCCUUGUUUGGAAGAAAUACAGUUUAAAAGUUGUUGGUGACUUAAUGGAUUUCCCCUUUUAGAAUGAGGUUUUGACUUUGAAGCUCGGGGAUUUAGGCACCUAUUGGUUAUCUUCUCCAGUGAGGGUGUUAUUACGCAAGGGCACAAGAUUGGAUACCCUGCGUAUUUAUUCCUAUAUGAAAUAAUACUCUUGCAUAUACUUGGCCUAUGUGCACAUGACUGGACAUUUCACUUAUGCAUAACAAAUUUUUUGCUUCACGUUGGAAUAUGAUCCUGCGUAAUAUGGGGCAACAUUUUUCUUUUGAUGGCAUCGCCAGUAACCUCUUCCUCCCUUUCCAAGAACACCCUUCUCCAGAGGAAGUUAGAUUCUAACUGGUAUGUUCAAUUCAAAAAUUUUAAUAAUCUAAAAGCUAUUGUGAAAGGAUGAACAUCUGUGCUUCUUCUAUGUUUCUAGGGACUAGUACUACCAAGACGUUCACAAUGCCAAUUUAGGAAACUUUUUGGCUUAUUCAUUCAUUAUUUUCUUGUGAGGUUGAAUUCUUAUAGUUUUCAUGCAGUGGUCCAUCCAGGUUUAGUUGGGAUCAGAACACCAAAGCUUGGGUUUAUAGGCGCACAAAAGCGAAUUUGUUGACGAUUUUUGAAAGUGAAUUGGAGCAACUAUGUGGCGAAUCUAUCAAACUUAGUUGUAGUAAAUUUUCUUGAUUUGCAGAAUAUUCUUUUUCAGGAAAUUUAACUCUGUAUUAUUAUUUAUGUUUGGCACUCUUACCAGAUCAAAUCUUUUAGGAUUUUUUCUUUAUGAUAAUGUAUAUGUUAGACAAGUAUUCCAGUUGCCUAAAUCUAUUCAACAAUAAUGGUAAUGAGAAUUAUUUA